Molecule: ribosomal RNA, 253 nt
Filed under: uncultured bacterium
Lineage: Bacteria
Description: partial 16S ribosomal RNA
Rfam family: Bacterial small subunit ribosomal RNA
Source: RNAcentral
UACAGAGGGGGCAAGCGUUGUUCGGAAUUACUGGGCGUAAAGGGCGCGUAGGCGGCCUUUUAAGUCGAACGUGAAAUCCCCGGGCUCAACCCGGGAACUGCGUCCGAUACUGGAAGGCUUGAAUCCGGGAGAGGGAUGCGGAAUUCCAGGUGUAGCGGUGAAAUGCGUAGAUAUCUGGAGGAACACCGGUGGCGAAGGCGGCUCUCUGGGGUAUUUCUGACGCUGAGGCACGAAAGCCAGGGGAGCGAACGGG